Non-coding RNA from Camellia sinensis, 1337 nucleotides. The record is from RefSeq and is a predicted model, not a curated record. NCBI's taxonomy places the organism in Eukaryota, Viridiplantae, Streptophyta, Magnoliopsida, Ericales, Theaceae.
AGCUUCUUUCAUUGUUGUCCUAUUUCCUUAAUCAAAAACACGUUUCCUCUCUUAUCACUCUCUACACUUCCGAUCGAUUCAUCGAAACCCUAGCCACCAUCUCCUCACUUCGUCCCCUAUUUUUGUUGCUUUUCAUCUUUACCUCAGCUAUUAUACUUACCAGGUCAAUGGCUCUCUCUCUUUCUCUCUCCCUCUCUCUCUGUUCGUGUAUAUAUAUAAUCGAUUGACCUUCCUUUUUUAUUGUUGCCCUCUUUUAACUCUGUAUGUUAGAUUAGUUACUAUCCAGCAACUUCUCACUCUCUACACUUCCAAUCAGUUCAUCGAAACCCUAGCCGCCAUCUCCGUUCACUUCAUCCUCUGUUUUGUUGCCUCUUCAUCUUCAGCUCCGUCAUUGUGCUUACCAAACUACACAUAUGCCACUUGGGCAAGCCAAUAAAAAGAGGUCGAAGACUUCAGUGUCAGAGGCAACCCCGAUUGAGGUCCCAGCUCACAUGUCAAUAGCUCCAUCUCCUGUGGAUGCAUCUGCAGAUCUAUCUCUUGUGCAUGCAUCUCCAUCUUUGUAAACAACUGAUAUUGGUUCAUCAGUGAAGCGAGUACGAGGUCCAACGACGGUUUAAUGUUCACCAGUGAAGUGAGUAUGAGGUCUAACAAGGGGUAAGAACACUAGUAGACUUAUCACCCAACAUAGUGGCAAGAAGCUUUUUGUUAGAGUUUCUAUUGAGCGGAGAAUAUUUGUGGGGCUUAAUGCCACUAAGGCGGCUAAUGAAUUGGGGGCACAAAUUUGAUUGCAAGGAACAUAAAAUUGGGAGGACAUUCCACCAGCCAUUUGAGCAGUUAUCGUAUAAUCCUUGCGGGAUAUGAUGAGAGUCCACUUCCACAAGAAAUUAUUGACACAAGGUCCACACAUUUGUUCAAAGGCUGGUGAUAUCAUAUGAAUCAACAUUACAAAGAGUUGGUGAAAGAAGGUAUAUAUCCUUAUAGUAAGCCAUUUGUUGGGGUGAGCCAAGAAGAUUGGAGGUACAUGAUUGAUGAAGUGUUUCUUGAUGACACACACAAGGUAGCCAAAGGCGUAGUCAUGUGUGUUUAUGGACCUGAGUUUGCCGGUGCAUUAAUUCUAAGUUGUGCUUAUACGUAGAGUUUUUGAGAUACUUCGCGUCGGACAAAUAUGACAUGCAUUUGAAAUCUUUGAUGGUUUUGUAAAUAUUUUUUAAUGUGGUGAAUUUGUUUUAAGGAUGGAUGGUUAUUUUGGACGUGCAAUGUGUUCAUGUUGAUUGGUGGUUGUAAUUACAUACAUUAACUACUAUUUUGACUUUAUAAUUGAUGAUUUUUUGUUUUUA